CUAUAUACAACCCUUGGCCACAUCAAUCAGUCACCAGAUUUAAUUGCAAAAAAUGAACACCAAGGUUUGCGUCACGGGAGCUGCAGGCUAUCUCGGUUCUGCCCUCGUUCACAAGUUGCUGGAAAAAGGGUAUGCCGUCCAUGCUACUCUCCGGAAUUUAGGUGAUGCAUCAAAGACAGGGCUGCUCAAAGCUCUUCCCCACGCAGACACAAGGCUCUUAUUGUUUCAGGCAGAUAUCUACAAUCCUGAUGAGUUUGGUCCUGCUAUUCAAGGCUGCCAGGUGGUUUUCCACGUUGCCACUCCCUUGCAGCACGACGCCUCCAGCUCUCAGUAUAAGAAUACUUGUGAGGCAGCUGUUGCUGGGGUGAAGACCAUUGCUGAAUCCUGCAUCAAAUCAGGAACUGUGAAGCAACUCAUCUACACUGCCUCUGUUGUAGCAUCAUCAGCAUUAAAGGAUGAUGGAUCAGGCUACAAGGACACAAUCGAUGAAUCCUGUUGGACUCCUCUCAAUGUCUCCUAUAGAUGCGCCACAGAUUUCUUAACUGCAUAUGUACGCUCAAAGACAUUGGCCGAAAAAGAAGUGCUGAGAUACAAUGAUGAGAAGAAAUUAGAGGUGGUGAGUCUUGUUUGUGGAAUUGUUGGAGGAUACAAAUUUCAAUCCUUGAUAGGCGAAAGCAUGAGAGUGCUAAUAUCCCAAGCUACCAAAGACAAGAUGAGGUAUCAAACUCUAAGGUUUUUGGAGGAAGUGAUUGGAAAAAUUCCAGUUUUGCACAUUGAAGAUGUUAUUGAUGCCCAUAUCUUCUGCGUGGAAAACCCGGGCUUCACUGGCAGAUUUCUAUGUGCUUCUGAUCUUCUAAAAUCAGAGGAGAUUGCAACGUUGAUUCAAAGUCGUUGCUCAGAAAGCAAAAUUCCCGAUGAUAUGAGAUGGGCAAAGAUACCAAGAAAUGGAUAAUGAACCAACAGAAGUUCAUGCAACCCAAUCUGUCAAGAGGGUCUGGACCCAAAAAAUGUUCCAAGUGACCCAAUACCAAGGCAAAAACUUGGAUCCACCAAUUGUUGGACUUAAAUCCACUCUGUCCUCCAACCGGCUUUACUAGCUGUGAUUGAAGAGUACAACGCUAAGGCAUUUCGCAAAAGAAAUGACGUGACAAGUUUUGGCCACACGAUCUAUAGCGUUGCCGGUGGACCGGAUCUGUCCAAGUUUUUGCCUAAUGCCAACUGUAGGUGUGCACGCUGGUAGAUGAAGUUCAUUGAGGAUUCGAAUAGAGAUAUUAGAUGGGGCUCUUCAAAGCUGGAGGAAUUGGGCUUUCACUACAAAUAUGACGCUGUGAUGACCCUAAAUGACUCCCUUCAGUAUUUCAAGGUUCCACUUCCACUGGAGAGUUCCUAAAACAUUACCAUAUAAGCAUGUUUCUGUUCAGUCAUUUCUAAUAAGGUUGAGAAAUCCCACCUCACAAGUAAGGUGAAUUUUAUGGUCCCUUUUGGAACCAUUUUAUCAAUUUGUAUCUCUCAUUAAAGAUAAAUAAUUUAAAUUUUAAACAUUAAAUAAUGUUUAAACUAAAGGUCAGUAAUACUUCUUUCACCAUCUAACGAUGAAUUUCACUUGCGGGUAUGAUACCAAAAGGGACCGUAGAAUCACCUUAAACCCUUUAUUGUGUCAAAUCUCAAUAGAUAAUAUAAUAAAAAUAUGUUGAAUCUGUGAAAAAGAUAAAUAAUGCCACUUUCAGAAGAAAUUCUUGAAGUGGACUGUCAUUCAAUAAUGUUGUUGAAAUGGUCAAAACAAUCUUGAUGAUUUUUAUAUUUUGUGGUUUAUUUAAUCACCAUACGUACUGACAGUCUGAUACUGGAUUGCAUGAAUUAAAGGUACAGACGAGUCUAGGGUCUUGCCUUUUUGCUUUCAA
Molecule: non-coding RNA, 1901 nt
Organism: Coffea arabica (coffee)
Lineage: Eukaryota; Viridiplantae; Streptophyta; Magnoliopsida; Gentianales; Rubiaceae
Source: RefSeq, a predicted model, not a curated record